CUCGUUGAAAGUUGAGAGAGAAAAAGAAAAGAAAUUAAAGAGGAAGGGAGAGCAAAGGAAAAAGUGGCAGUAACGUGGACUAUACUGUAGUUAGGUUCGGACUAAGAGGUGAUAUAAAGGCAUACGUCGCAUCCACUUGGUUCAACUUACCUGGAAGAUCGAAGAUCGAACACGACAAGAAAGAGCCUAAUCGGCUAAAGCUUCACGACACCACGCCACUUCUCCAACAUCAUGUCGGUGAAGUCGGUGUUGGAUACUGACAACUGUUGUAUUGGCCAAGAUAAGAAGAGUGUUAUUCUUCGAUGGCACGUAACAUCAUAAAUCGGCAACAAUCACUAGUAACAUUUACAACCCAAAAAACCAAUGGUUUUUUUACUCAACCAAUGGACUUCUUUUGGUUGAAUAUGACGAAGUAUUGGUAAACACAAAGGAAACAAUUAAGGAAUCUUCAUCAUCCGCUGUCCUGGUUUAUAUUAAUUGUCUUUCACCGGAUACGAUAGUACGGAUCUUCGACUUCAAAACUAAUACUUGACAUAGAUCAAAAUGACGAUUGGAUAUCGAUCGUUAACGCUGAUCCAAAUUGUUGAACGGCAAUAUAAUCUUAUUGCCUAUUAAUAUUUGAGAUCGAGCGGCGAUUCUCGUAGAAUUUGAAAAUAUUACGGAAAUAUUUUCCGAAUAUUAACAGAAAUUGAUGAAUCUAAUAUAGUUCCGGAUAUUCUUCACGAUCGAGACAUCUUCCAGGGAGGUUCCUCGCUGAGUGCAAUCAACGAAUCAAAUUCAAUUACUUUUCGAAAUUCCUAAAACGUUUGUAUUUUAAUACAAACUCAAUAACAUACUUUGUACUGAUUUAAUUGAUAUAAUUUUAUAUGUUUCAAAUACUAAAAGAAAAA
This is a long non-coding RNA of Vespa mandarinia (Asian giant hornet), 890 nucleotides long. NCBI's taxonomy places the organism in Eukaryota, Metazoa, Arthropoda, Insecta, Hymenoptera, Vespidae. The record is from RefSeq and is a predicted model, not a curated record.